AUGAACGCUGGCGGCGUGCCUAAUACAUGCAAGUCGAGCGAACGGACGAGGAGCUUGCUCCUCUGACGUUAGCGGCGGACGGGUGAGUAACACGUGGAUAACCUACCUAUAAGACUGGGAUAACUUCGGGAAACCGGAGCUAAUACCGGAUAACAUGUUGAACCGCAUGGUUCAACAGUGAAAGACGGUCUUGCUGUCACUUAUAGAUGGAUCCGCGCCGCAUUAGCUAGUUGGUAAGGUAACGGCUUACCAAGGCAACGAUGCGUAGCCGACCUGAGAGGGUGAUCGGCCACACUGGAACUGAGACACGGUCCAGACUCCUACGGGAGGCAGCAGUAGGGAAUCUUCCGCAAUGGGCGAAAGCCUGACGGAGCAACGCCGCGUGAGUGAAGAAGGUCUUCGGAUCGUAAAACUCUGUUAUUAGGGAAGAACAAAUGUGUAAGUAACUAUGCACGUCUUGACGGUACCUAAUCAGAAAGCCACGGCUAACUACGU
This 495-nucleotide ribosomal RNA is filed under the name uncultured bacterium. RNAcentral's name for it is "partial 16S ribosomal RNA". It matches the Rfam family "Bacterial small subunit ribosomal RNA", at positions 29 to 506 of the family's 1533-position model. The record is from RNAcentral.